RNAcentral lists this long non-coding RNA (220 nucleotides) under Mytilus galloprovincialis (Mediterranean mussel). Lineage: Eukaryota; Metazoa; Mollusca; Bivalvia; Mytilida; Mytilidae. The record is from RNAcentral.
CUUCCUAAUAAAAUUGACACUGGAAAUGGGGAAUGUGUCAAAAAAGACAACAACCCAACUUCAGAGCAGACAAUAGCCGAAGGUCAUCAAUGUUUCUCAUAAGCUAUAAGCUACAUUGUACAUGUAUAGGAUCACUACUUUUGGCAUAAUUAUGGAAUAAAUGUAAGUUGUACAUGUUUGACAUUUUUGAAUGGCUUAUUUCAUCUGACAAUGACACCAU